AGCAGUAGCCACGGUAAUACGUAGGUGGCAAGCGUUGUCCGGAAUUAUUGGGCGUAAAGGGCUCGCAGGCGGUUUCUUAAGUCUGAUGUGAAAGCCCCCGGCUCAACCGGGGAGGGUCAUUGGAAACUGGGAAACUUGAGUGCAGAAGAGGAGAGUGGAAUUCCACGUGUAGCGGUGAAAUGCGUAGAGAUGUGGAGGAACACCAGUGGCGAAGGCGAUUCUCUGGUCUGUAACUGACGCUGAGGAGCGAAAGCGUGGGGAGCGAACAGGAUUAGAUACCCCAGUAGUCCCUGUCUCUUAUAC
RNAcentral lists this ribosomal RNA (303 nucleotides) under uncultured bacterium. RNAcentral's name for it is "partial 16S ribosomal RNA". It matches the Rfam family "Bacterial small subunit ribosomal RNA", at positions 507 to 807 of the family's 1533-position model. The record is from RNAcentral.